CUGUGGUCCACAGGGCCCUGUGUUACCUGUCAGUGAAGCAGUACCAGGAUGCGGUCAAAGACUGCGAGCAGGCUCUGAGGAUGGACCAGGUCAACAUCAAGGCUUUGUACAGGAGGGCGCUGGCUCACAAAGAACUGAAGAACCUCAAAGCCUGCGUGGACGACCUGAACGCUCUGCUCCAGAUUGAACCCAAGAACGUGGCGGCCCUCAAGCUGCUGCAGGAAGUUCCGAAGAACAAGUGAGGAAGGAGGAGACGCUGUGGUCCGGACCUGAGGACUGUGGUCGAUGGGUUUGGUUCUCGGAGUGGACUGAUGUCGGAGUGCUGUCAGAGCUGCGCAGUCACCUGAUCCAACCAGCUCCUGUCACGUGGAGAGUCUGUGUUUUUCCAAAAAGCUUGUUUACUCUGUUGUCAUGUUUGUUUGCUGGUUUUUUUGUUUACUUGAACAAGUAUUUAAUCCUGAAAGGUUUUGGAACAAGUGCAGUGUCAUUAGAUGAAGUCUUGAAUCAUGGUGAACAUCUCUGUCUGGAAUGUUGAUGUUUGAAAAACAAUGACUGACUCAGCUGCAAAUAAAAUAAAAAAAAUAGGUCCCCUGA
This is a long non-coding RNA of Cynoglossus semilaevis (tongue sole), 594 nucleotides long. RefSeq lists it as uncharacterized. The transcript has 2 exons. NCBI's taxonomy places the organism in Eukaryota, Metazoa, Chordata, Actinopteri, Pleuronectiformes, Cynoglossidae. The record is from RefSeq and is a predicted model, not a curated record.